RNAcentral lists this long non-coding RNA (2966 nucleotides) under Homo sapiens (human). RNAcentral describes it as "HSALNT0190879". The record is from RNAcentral. Lineage: Eukaryota; Metazoa; Chordata; Mammalia; Primates; Hominidae.
UUAGUUCACUUAUCCAGAAGUGAUCUCAAUGAUUAGGAGUUGAGCCAAGGAAAUAAGCAAAGCAGCUAAGUGAAGGGUAAGCAACUGAAAUACUUACAAACUGAACCCUCUCUCUUAUGCUCUGAACUCACAGAAAAGGGCCUUAGAGCACUCCCCAGUAUCUAUUUAUUUUAUUUAAGAUACAAUUCUAAUAGCAAAAUGGAAAUAGUUGUUGCAAAGAGAUAAAAAGGAUGCUGUCCAAGUCAGGCAACUGAAAGUGGCAAGAAAUGACAGAACUGACAAUGAUAAAAGAAAUGGAUAAAUCAAAAUGGCAGGAAAAAAAAAUUCAUGAACAUUUUCUCAGUGUGGGACCAUUCUGCGUAGAGUAAAAUAAAAAUAAUUAAGCAAAACACAGAUUUGGUGUUCAUAUUUCAUAACCCUCUAAUAUCAGAAAAUAUGCGAUCUGUGUUAGGAAGACAAUUGAUGUAUCUUAGAAAUAGUUCCAACAUAAAAGGUUAAGUUAUUUUAAAUUCAGUCAUCUUGAAAAUAAGUGCAAUGCUAACUCCUCAUGUUGUUCUUCAUGGAUUACAAGGAAGCAGUGGAGUAUCACAGUUAAAAGGAUGCAUAUGGUUCCCAACUGCCCAGAUUUCAAAUCCCAGCUAUGCCGUGUGUGACCUUGGACAACUCACUUAACGUCUCUGAAGCUCAAUUCCUCCACUGCAAAAUGGGUAGUGGUUUACUAUUUUAGACCUCAAGGAUCCAAUGAUCUGGGAACACAGUUCAUCUGAGGAUAGGCAUUACAAGGUAAACACAGUGUUGAUAAAAGUUCUGUGUCCCUGAUGGUGUCAAGAAGAAAUGUGCCAUCAUUUUCAGGUAAAAACAACAACAAAUAAACAAACAAAACUAAAACAACCAGGAAAUCUGCAUCUGCUUCCUGAAAUAUGUCCACAAAAAUCAAAUAGGUAUAGAUAUACUUUUGCCUUAAACAGAUAAAUGAAAUUUUUGAGUAUCAAAAAAUUAUUUUCAACAUCCACAAAAUACUGAAACAGUACUCUUUAAAACAGUCAAGGUAAUGACAAACAAGGAAAGACAGAGAAAAUGUCACAGACCAGAGAAGACACGGCAUGAUGACUGAAUGUAAGGGAGUGUCCUGAAUUGGAUCCUAGAACAGAUAAAGAUUAUUAGUAAAAAGCAGUUGAAAUUUGCACAAGGACUGGAGUUUAGUUAAUAGUAAUGUAUAAAUGUUAACCUCAUAAUUUUGAUGACUGUAAUGUGGUUAUGUACAAUGUUAGCACUGAGGAAACUAGGUUAGGGGUAUUCAAGAACUCUCUGUACUAUCUUUGCAACUUUUCCAGAAAUCUAAAGUGAUUCCAAAAUAAAAAGUGUAUUUAGAAAAGUAUUUUCAGAUCUUUGAGAGGCAGGAGAGCGGGAACAACAUGCACCUUAAUGUCAGAAGGUUGAGUUUGUGUUUCCCUUUCACCACCAUCCAACAAGAUGACUUAAUGCAAGUUGGUUGAGCCUCAGGAUUCACAUUCAUAAAAGGGGGGGAUACAAUUUCUACCUUAUACAGUGUUAUUGAAAAGAACAAAUAAAAAAUUCAUGAACCCAUACAAAAAGUAACCAUAGGCACAACUAUUUUUCCAAACCCUGAUUUACAGCUUCAAUCUAACCUUAAAACUAUUUACUCAAUUGACACAUACAUUUUUCUUAUUUUACUUUUCGAAAAAGAUCAAUAAAUGAUCUGUGAUGCCUUCAAUAGAGAAAAAUUAAGAGUUGGAUAUCAGUCUCAGAGGGUUUACAUUUUCAAGAUGUUUUUCUUUCAAAAGUAACAUUGAGCUUGUUGAACUUGACAAAUUAGUGUUUUUUCGGAAAAUCUCCUGCACUGAUCUGGGGUGUCCCUGGGUGUGUAUGAAGACUUGGGCAAGAAAGAGCUCAAGAAAAAUUCAUGGAUUUGGUGUAUUACUUUAGGGUUGCGUGAUUCUGACUAACUUUAAGCCAAAACUAGGUAGAGGCAAAACGUUGCUGUGGAAGUUGUGAGAAAGUCCUUGGCAGAAAGAGCAGGCAGUGAGAGGAACAGGGGUGAAAUUAUCCUUUCAUUUUCUGGAAGGUACUGCCAGUGAAGUGGUUAAGAGUAUAGGCUUUUGAUCCAGACCUUCUGGAUUUGAAGCCAAACUCUGACUCUUCCUUUUUAGAGCUUGGGCAGGUGACUUAAGCUCUGUGUCUUGUUUAAAGAUAAUUAAUAAGGACAUGAUCCUAUCUGUAUUUUGGAAAACUCCUCUGGAAGCAGUGUGGAUGAUCGAUUAGAGCAACAUCAGACCCAACAAGGGCCGUGGUAGAGAAGCCAGCACAAUAGUAGAGAGGUGAUGAGGGCCUAAGCUGCACAGGGAGCCCUGAGCAUGGGGAGAAGGAGUCUAGAAAACCAUGAAGGAGAUGGGUAUCAGCAGAAAGUGGGGGAAUCAGGGAAAGAAAGGACUCUAGAUGGAUUCUUAGGCUCCUGGAGACUGGGAUUUUGUCCAUUAACCAAGAUAGAGAAUCAUGGAAGAGUAGGGAAAAGUCAUGCUUGUGAUUUGGGACAUACUACAUGUUUGUGUUUGGGGACAUUAAGAAGGAAAUGCCUAUCUGGGACAGGAACUUGUGUUUUAUCUCAUAUACCACUCUGAGUAAAUGGGAGCUUAAAGAGAGUUAAGUACAAGAUAGGGGUUAAGAAUGCUGUUUCUUUGACUUACUAGCUGUGUGUUUAAAAGGGUCAAUUGUUUAACUUUUCUGCUGCUUUUUCUUUUGUUUUGUUUUGUUUGUUUGUUUGUUUUAAGACAGAGUUUUGCUCUUGUUGCCCAGGCUGGAGUGUAAUGGCACGAUCUCAGCUCACUGCAACCUCCACCUCCCAAGUUCAAGCAAUUCUCCUGCCUCAGCCUCCAUAGGCAUCCACCACCACGCCCGGCCAAUUUUGUAUUUCUAGUAGAGGCGGGGUUUCUCCAUGUUGUUCAAGC